CUGUCUUCGCGCAUUUAAUUUCAGAACAUUUUCCUGUUCGUUAGUACUACCGAUGGACACUUUGGUCUGUUAAUAUGGCUGCCUUGUCGCUAUCAAAAUCCUGUUAAAAGAUUCCUUCGUAAAGAGGCGAAAAUGAAUUUUUCGGUCCAUAUCAUGUUUCCCUUGCUGCUGGUGUUAUUGUUUAUUACUUGCGAAGCAUCUUGGAGCGGGAUGAACUGCAGCGAAGUUAUGAAGAAACGGCGAAACAAUGAAUGUUUAAGCAACAUGGAAGUUCAUACGCGCGAGAAACGAGCAUCGAGACGGCGUAGGCGCAGACGAUACAGGAGAAAAUGCCGUAUAAGGAUAACCCGAUACAGAUGCCGAAGAAGACGAAGAAGGAGUUUUAGAUACUCCUGACAAAAGACCUACAACAGCUGUAGACUAUAGCACGUUUAGCUGAACAAAACAAGAACCUUCGUCGGAUUUGGAGGAAAGUUUCUUCGAAACGUUCCAAAAACUUUCUACGACGGUAUAUGAGACCCGAAUUGAUCUCGCCCGCGCCUAUAAACGACAAAAAUAGUUUGAAAUUACACUGCUACAAACGCAUGAAUUGUUCGCUGUAAUAAAAACAUGGCUGAACAAUGUUGUGCCCAGAACAGUGUGUAUGUGAAAAACUUGUGACAAUCGGAAAUGCUUAAAUAUUGUUUCUACUUUAUAAAAACCAUUGCUGAUCGUGAGGUUCAGCACAACAUUGUUCGGUUUUGUCUAUCAUAUGCUUGAUUUACACUAGGGAAGGAUCACAAGCCGAAACAUAAAGGGGCAAUAAAGCUUAUAUGAUCACCUGACUUUGCAUAAAAUGCGCCGCAUUUUGCUCGGAGCAAACGGCGGAAACUCUCGACCGUUUGUCCGAUUUCAUUUGUUGAAGUAUAUACAACGUCAACGUUUCAAGGAUGCAAAGACAACUUUGUUGAAUGAUGAAUAUAAUUUUUAGAACAUGUUAUAAUGUAAAUUAUAAUCUAUUUAUUGAUAUCGUAUGAUGUCAUUGAUAUAUCAGUGUCUAAUAAUAGAGUUAGUAUUUUUCAUUUUGUAAUAAAGUAAAGAUGAGAGAGACUCUCUCAAAGAGACUGUUCGCGGAUACAAGGCCAUGCAUGCAGUUAACAGGUGUUCAUUUUGCUCAGAGCUGCAUAUAUGGUC
Dendronephthya gigantea is the source of this 1173-nucleotide long non-coding RNA. RefSeq lists it as uncharacterized. NCBI's taxonomy places the organism in Eukaryota, Metazoa, Cnidaria, Anthozoa, Malacalcyonacea, Nephtheidae. The transcript has 3 exons. The record is from RefSeq and is a predicted model, not a curated record.